UCCGGUUGAUCCUGCCGGACCUGACUGCUAUCGGAUUGAUACAAAGCCAUGCGAGUCAUUGUAGCAAUACAAGGCAUACGGCUCAGUAACGCGUAGUCAACCUAACCUAUGGACGGGAAUAACCUCGGGAAACUGAGAAUAAUGCCCGAUAGAACAUUAUACCUGGAAUGGUUUAUGUUCCAAAUGAUUUAUCGCCGUAGGAUGGGACUGCGGCCUAUCAGUUUGUUGGUGAGGUAAUGGCCCACCAAGACUAUUACAGGUACGGGCUCUGAGAGGAGUAGCCCGGAGAUGGGUACUGAGACACGGACCCAGGCCCUAUGGGGCGCAGCAGGCGAGAAAACUUUGCAAUGUGCGAAAGCACGACAAGGUUAAUCCGAGUGAUUUCUGCUAAAGAAAUCUUUUGAUAGUCAUAAAACCACUAAUGAAUAAGGGGUGGGCAAGUUCUGGUGUCAGCCGCCGCGGUAAAACCAGCACCUCAAGUGGUCAGGAGGAUUAUUGGGCCUAAAGCAUCCGUAGCCUGUUUUGUAAGUCUUCGGUUAAAUCCAUAUGCUCAACAUAUGGGCUGCCGGAGAUACUGUAAAACUAGGGAGUGGGAGAGGUAGACGGUACUUGAUAGGAAGGGGUAAAAUCCUUUGAUCUAUUGAUGACCACCUGUGGCGAAGGCGGUCUACCAGAACACGUUCGACGGUGAGGGAUGAAAGCUGGGGGAGCAAACCGGAUUAGAUACCCGGGUAGUCCCAGCUGUAAACGAUGCAGACUCGGUGAUGCAUUGGUUUAUUGCCAGUGCAGUGCCGCAGGGAAGCCGUUAAGUCUGCCGCCUGGGAAGUACGUACGCAAGUAUGAAACUUAAAGGAAUUGGCGGGGGAGCACCACA
This 874-nucleotide ribosomal RNA is filed under the name uncultured Candidatus Nitrosopumilus sp. RNAcentral describes it as "bacterial SSU rRNA". It matches the Rfam family "Archaeal small subunit ribosomal RNA", at positions 1 to 883 of the family's 1478-position model. The record is from RNAcentral. Lineage: Archaea; Thermoproteati; Nitrososphaerota; Nitrososphaeria; Nitrosopumilales; Nitrosopumilaceae.